RNAcentral lists this ribosomal RNA (410 nucleotides) under uncultured bacterium. RNAcentral's name for it is "bacterial SSU rRNA". It matches the Rfam family "Bacterial small subunit ribosomal RNA", at positions 370 to 772 of the family's 1533-position model. The record is from RNAcentral.
AAUGGGGGAAACCCUGAUCCAGCAAUGCCGCGUGCAGGAUGAAGGCCUUCGGGUUGUAAACUGCUUUUGUACGGAACGAAAAGUCUUGGGCUAAUACCCUGGGAUCAUGACGGUACCGUAAGAAUAAGCACCGGCUAACUACGUGCCAGCAGCCGCGGUAAUACGUAGGGUGCAAGCGUUAAUCGGAAUUACUGGGCGUAAAGCGUGCGCAGGCGGUUUUGUAAGACAGUGGUGAAAUCCCCGGGCUCAACCUGGGAACUGCCAUUGUGACUGCAAGGCUGGAGUGCGGCAGAGGGGGAUGGAAUUCCGCGUGUAGCAGUGAAAUGCGUAGAUAUGCGGAGGAACACCGAUGGCGAAGGCAAUCCCCUGGGCCUGCACUGACGCUCAUGCACGAAAGCGUGGGGAGCAAA